Molecule: ribosomal RNA, 455 nt
Filed under: uncultured bacterium
Lineage: Bacteria
Description: bacterial SSU rRNA
Rfam family: Bacterial small subunit ribosomal RNA
Source: RNAcentral
UACGGAAGGCAGCAGUGGGGAAUAUUGCACAAUGGGCGAAAGCCUGAUGCAGCUAUGCCGCGUGUAUGAAGAAGGCCUUAGGGUUGUAAAGUACUUUCAUCGGGGAGGAAAAAACAAAACUAAUAAUUUUAUUUCUUGACGUUACCCGAAAAAGAAGCACCGGCUAACUCCGUGCCAGCAGCCGCGGUAAUACGGAGGGUGCUAGCGUUAAUCAGAAUUACUGGGCGUAAAGAGCACGUAGGUGGUUUUUUUAAGUCAGAUGUGAAAUCCCUGGGCUUAACCUGGAACUGCAUUUUGAAACUGAAAUACUAGAGUAUCGUAGAGGGAGGUAGAAUUCUAGGUGUAGCGGUGAAAUGCGUAGAUAUCUGGAGGAAUACCUGUGGCGAAAGCGGCCUCCUAAAUGAAUACUGACACUGAGGUGCGAAAGCGUGGGGAGCAAACAGGGAUUAGAUACC